AUAUUAUGUAUGAAUUUCAGUCAACUGUGCUGUGAUGCAGAAAAGCGGCGCAGGUCUUCACACAGCCAACUCUUGUUACUGGGACACUACCACUGAUGGAAGCUGCACAGUCAGGUGGGAGAACCGCACCAUGUACUGCGUCGUCAGUGUGUUUGCAGUGGCUAUUGCGCUAUAAACAGGAAUCAGGGCUGAGACAUAAACAGAAACAAAAGGAUAAAAACACCUUCACUCACAUCCUCUGCUUCAACACUGGCUUAAAAUCAUGUUCAGCUUGUGUCAUGUUUUGCCUAAUCUAUAAAGUUUAAACUGUAUUGCAAAUGCCUGUCUACCACAUUGUGUUUAUUUGCCUUUUUUUGGACUUGCAAAGGUAACGUGCACCUUUGUUCUGUACAGGAUGAAAUGCAAAUAUGUUGAUGCUUAAUUAUUAAAGUUGUCUGAUUUGGGUUUAUCAAUC
This is a long non-coding RNA of Sinocyclocheilus rhinocerous, 454 nucleotides long. RefSeq lists it as uncharacterized. The transcript is spliced from 2 exons. The record is from RefSeq and is a predicted model, not a curated record. Lineage: Eukaryota; Metazoa; Chordata; Actinopteri; Cypriniformes; Cyprinidae.